UACGUAGGUGGCAAGCGUUGUCCGGAUUUAUUGGGUUUAAAGGGUGCGUAGGCGGCCCUAUAAGUCAGUGCUGAAAUAUCCCGGCUUAACCGGGAGGGUGGCAUUGAUACUGUAGGGCUUGAGUCGAGUUGAGGUUGGCGGAAUUGACGGUGUAGCGGUGAAAUGCUUAGAUAUCGUCAAGAACACCGAUAGUGAAGACAGCUAACUAAGCUCAAACUGACGCUGAGGCACGAAAGUGUGGGGAUCAAACAGG
Molecule: ribosomal RNA, 253 nt
Filed under: uncultured bacterium
Lineage: Bacteria
Description: partial 16S ribosomal RNA
Rfam family: Bacterial small subunit ribosomal RNA
Source: RNAcentral